AGCUCCUGGCGGUGGAUAUCUAGGCUCUCGCAGCGAUGAAGAACGCAGCAAAGCGCGAUAGUUGGUGCGAUUUGCAGGUUUCGUGAAUCAUCGAGUCUUUGAACGCAAGUGGCGCUCGCGGGUUCGCUCGCGAGCAUGCCUGUUUGAGUGUCAG
RNAcentral lists this ribosomal RNA (154 nucleotides) under Cyanidioschyzon merolae strain 10D. RNAcentral's name for it is "5.8S ribosomal RNA". It matches the Rfam family "5.8S ribosomal RNA". From Rfam's summary of the family: 5.8S ribosomal RNA (5.8S rRNA) is a component of the large subunit of the eukaryotic ribosome. The record is from RNAcentral. Lineage: Eukaryota; Rhodophyta; Bangiophyceae; Cyanidiales; Cyanidiaceae.